UUCGUCAAGAAAAGCCGCUAUUGUUCUUAUUGUACCCGUACCGUAAACCGACACAGGUGGAUGAGGAGAGAACCCUAAGGCCGACGGAAGAAGCAUUGUUAAGGAACUCGGCAAAAUGACCCCGUAACUUCGGGAGAAGGGGUGCCACAGAAAUAUGGCCGCAGAGAAUAGGCUCAAGCAACUGUUUAGCAAAAACACAGGUCUAUGCAAAACCGAAAGGUGAGGUAUAUGGGCUGACGCCUGCCCGGUGCUGGAAGGUUAAGAGGAGAGGUUAGCGCAAGCGAAGCUUUGAAUUGAAGCCCCAGUAAACGGCGGCCGUAACGAUAACGGUCCUAAGGUAGCGAAAUUCCUUGUCGGGUAAGUUCCGACCCGCACGAAAGGCGUAAUGAUUUGAGCGCUGUCUCGACAAUGCAUCCGGUGAAAUUGAAGUACCAGUGAAGAUGCUGGUUACCUGCGCCAGGACGGAAAGACCCCAUGGAGCUUUACUCCAGCUUGAUACUGGGAUUCGGUAUUGCAUGUACAGGAUAGGUGGGAGGCUGAGAAUCGGUAACGCCAGUUGCCGAGGAGCCAUUGUUGGGAUACCACCCUUGCAGUACUGGGUUUCUAACCAGCAGCCGUGACCCGGCUGGGGGACAAUGUCAGGUGGGGAGUUUGACUGGGGCGGUCGCCUCCGAAAGGGUAUCGGAGGCGCUCAAAGGUUCCCUCAGAAUGGUUGGAAACCAUUCGAAGAGUGCAAAGGCAGAAGGGAGCUUGACUGCGACACCGACGGGUGGAGCAGGUACGAAAGUAGGACUUAGUGAUCCGGUGGUAUUAAGUGGGAAUGCCAUCGCUCAACGGAUAAAAGCUACCCUGGGAUAACAGGCUUAUCACUCCCAAGAGUUCACAUCGACGGAGUGGUUUGGCACCUCGAUGUCGGCUCAUCGCAUCCUGGGGCUGUAGUAGGUCCCAAGGGUUGGGCUGUUCGCCCAUUAAAGCGGUACGCGAGCUGGGUUCAGAACGUCGUGAGACAGUUCGGUCCCUAUCCGGCGUGGGCGUAGGAUAUCUGAGAGGAGCUGUCCUUAGUACGAGAGGACCGGGAUGGACGGACCGCUGGUGUACCUGUUGCAGUGCCAGCUGCAUGGCAGGGUAGCCAAGUCCGGAAGGGAUAAACGCUGAAGGCAUCUAAGCGUGAAGCCCCCCUCAAGAUGAGAUAUCCCAUUCGGAAGAAGUAAGACCCCUUGAAGACGACGAGGUAGAUAGGGCAGAGGUGGAAGUGCAGUAAUGUAUGGAGCUGACUGUUACUAAUCGGUCGAGGGUUUGACC
This 1302-nucleotide ribosomal RNA is filed under the name metagenome. RNAcentral describes it as "bacterial LSU rRNA". It matches the Rfam family "Bacterial large subunit ribosomal RNA", at positions 1604 to 2925 of the family's 2925-position model. The record is from RNAcentral.